Molecule: long non-coding RNA, 489 nt
Organism: Phlebotomus argentipes
Lineage: Eukaryota; Metazoa; Arthropoda; Insecta; Diptera; Psychodidae
Exons: 3
Source: RefSeq, a predicted model, not a curated record
UGAUCUCCGUGAAUUUUGUGAUAAAGCCAUCCACAGCGUAGAAAAAUUAUUCAAAUUCCGUGCACUUUGAACAUUUCAUCUUUCAUUAUUAUUCUGAGAGCUUUAUCAUCUUCGGCAUUUCUUCGGCUAUCUGUCUGUGGGUUUUCUGCGAGCUGGCAAAAAUCUCAUCCGGUGACUGUUAAUGGCAUUUUUCCACAUGAGGCACGGUUUGUUCAUGUUGUCAGCUCGUGACUGUUGAAAAUGUGAGCAUUCGAUACGGCCAGAGAGAAAAGAUGAUGCAACAAGUGCUUCAACGAGUUUUUGCCCCCCAGAAAACAUCUUGAAUCUGGAAUUUCUCUUCUUCUCCAGCCAAUUUUGUAUAUCACAAAAAAAGAUCGGAUGAAGCUGUUCCCUGAAUUCAUGCAGAGAAUGUCUGGGGCACACGUGAGAUUUUCUCCCCCAAAGGAGUUCAAGACAUUGUCUAAAUGGCAUCCACGGAUCUAAAAAUAA